Molecule: ribosomal RNA, 526 nt
Filed under: uncultured microeukaryote
Lineage: Eukaryota
Description: SSU rRNA
Rfam family: Eukaryotic small subunit ribosomal RNA
Source: RNAcentral
UAGUCAUAUGCUUGUCUCAAAGAUUAAGCCAUGCAUGUCUAAGUAUAAACUGCUUUAUACUGUGAAACUGCGAAUGGCUCAUUAAAUCAGUUAUAGUUUAUUUGAUGGUACUUACUUACUCGGAUACCCGUAGUAAUUCUAGAGCUAAUACGUGCGUACAUCCCGACUUCUGGAAGGGACGUAUUUAUUAGAUAAAAGGCCGACCGGGCUUGCCCGACUCGCGGUGACUCAUGAUAACUUCACGAAUCGCAUGGCCUUGCGCCGGCGAUGUUUCAUUCAAAUUUCUGCCCUAUCAACUUUUGAUGGUAGGAUAGAGGCCUACCAUGGUGGUAACGGGUGACGGAGAAUUAGGGUUCGAUUCCGGAGAGGGAGCCUGAGAAACGGCUACCACAUCCAGGGAAGGCAGCAGGCGCGCAAAUUACCCAAUCUCGAUACGAGGAGGUAGUGACAAGAAAUAACAAUGCAGGGCUCGAAGAGUCUUGUAAUUGGAAUGAGAACAACCCAAACCACUUAACGAGGAACAAUU